This 898-nucleotide ribosomal RNA is filed under the name Fusarium solani. RNAcentral describes it as "LSU rRNA". It matches the Rfam family "Eukaryotic large subunit ribosomal RNA", at positions 38 to 963 of the family's 3401-position model. The record is from RNAcentral. Lineage: Eukaryota; Fungi; Ascomycota; Sordariomycetes; Hypocreales; Nectriaceae.
GCAUAUCAAUAAGCGGAGGAAAAGAAACCAACAGGGAUUGCCCCAGUAACGGCGAAGUGAAGCGGCAACAGCUCAAAUUUGAAAUCUGGCUCUCGGGCCCGAGUUUGUAAUUUGUAGAGGAUGCUUUUGGUGAGGUGCCUUCCGAGUUCCCUGGAACGGGACGCCAUAGAGGGUGAGAGCCCCGUCUGGUUGGACACCGAUCCUCUGUAAAGCUCCUUCGACGAGUCGAGUAGUUUGGGAAUGCUGCUCUAAAUGGGAGGUAUAUGUCUUCUAAAGCUAAAUACCGGCCAGAGACCGAUAGCGCACAAGUAGAGUGAUCGAAAGAUGAAAAGAACUUUGAAAAGAGAGUUAAACAGUACGUGAAAUUGUUGAAAGGGAAGCGCUUGUGACCAGACUUGGGCUUGGUUGAUCAUCCGGGGUUCUCCCCGGUGCACUCUUCCGGCCCAGGCCAGCAUCAGUUCGCCCUGGGGGACAAAGGCUUCGGGAAUGUGGCUCUCUCCGGGGAGUGUUAUAGCCCGUUGCGUAAUACCCUGUGGCGGACUGAGGUUCGCGCAUUCGCAAGGAUGCUGGCGUAAUGGUCAUCAGUGACCCGUCUUGAAACACGGACCAAGGAGUCGUCUUCGUAUGCGAGUGUUCGGGUGUCAAACCCCUACGCGAAAUGAAAGUGAACGCAGGUGAGAGCUUCGGCGCAUCAUCGACCGAUCCUGAUGUUAUCGGAUGGAUUUGAGUAAGAGCAUACGGGGCCGGACCCGAAAGAAGGUGAACUAUGCCUGUGUAGGGUGAAGCCAGAGGAAAACUCUGGUGGAGGCUCGCAGCGGUUCUGACGUGCAAAUCGAUCGUCAAACAUGGGCAUGGGGGCGAAAGACUAAUCGAACCUUCUAGUAGCUGGUUUCCGCGA